UAUUUUUUCUAAAAGGAUUGGUUGGACGCACAGAACGUUUGUCUAUCUGUGCGUGCCUCUUAUACAUUAACGUAUUAGCGGUAAUGACUUUUCGUUUGAUUAGUGUGUUAAUUGACUUGUUUUCGAGGAUUUUUAAAAGGAGAUCGGCAAAAUGGACGCGAACUGGGCUAUGGACGCGAACAGGCGAAAUGACCCUAUGUAUUGAAAAUUUUAACUGACACUACCGUAAUGACGUCAUUAGCAUGGCGGCGACAUUUCGUAGUGUUCAAAGACAGAUAAAAAAACCUAAAAACUUUAAACUGCAAUAAAAAAUAUAUUUAUGUACCUUACGAAGUGAAACUAACAUUUCCCGAUUGCUUUUCCUCUAAACAAUCAUUGUAAUUCACUUUUAAUUUUUUUCUCAUCUAGACUAAAAUACCCUAUUAUCCUUAAUGCUAAGAGUAAUCGGCAAUUCAGUGAAUAAAACUGAGUCUGCAGCUCCGUUUAAAUCAAAUGUUAUGAUCUCGCCUAGCUUAAGUUCACCUUUCAACUCUGUGUCACAUUUUUGACACAUUGUGUUAACACAAAGAAAUUUUAAUCUAUUUGUGACUUUGAUUUUUAUAAAGUAUGCACUCUCCCUAAAAAAAUAAGACGUGAAUAACGAAAAUUUCGAAUAUGUGAAAAUGCAUGGACACCCUACUCUCAUACAGUUUCAUACCACUGUGUUUUUGUAAAUAUCUCCUAAAAUACGAAUGCUGCAGUUAAAUUCGCUAUAUUUAUUCAAACUAGGUUACGUUACCCAUCGACUAGUACUUUAAUUAAGCUAAAACCUACUUUUAAUAACGAGAAAAACGAAAUUGUAUUUUAGGCAUAUUGCCGUCCGCGCGGCCAACUAAAAUCGACUCUAACAUAUUAUUGAACCUGCUUUCUAGUAUUUUUUUGUCUUUUUUCGCUGUAACAAAUUAAAGACUAAUUUUCUAUACA
Long non-coding RNA from Helicoverpa armigera (cotton bollworm), 963 nucleotides. RefSeq lists it as uncharacterized. The record is from RefSeq and is a predicted model, not a curated record. The transcript is spliced from 2 exons. Lineage: Eukaryota; Metazoa; Arthropoda; Insecta; Lepidoptera; Noctuidae.